Long non-coding RNA from Canis lupus familiaris (dog), 461 nucleotides. RefSeq lists it as uncharacterized. Lineage: Eukaryota; Metazoa; Chordata; Mammalia; Carnivora; Canidae. The transcript is spliced from 3 exons. The record is from RefSeq and is a predicted model, not a curated record.
GCGGUGUCUUGCUGGAAGGGCAGCUCGGUGGAGGCCGAGGGUUGGUUUGGAGGGUCCCAGGGGAUCGCGUGUCACCCCCCGACCCACCCCCGGUUCCUCUCCAGCUGAUCCCUGCUGCUUCUUCACCCAAGCCUGGUCCCUGCGGAUGCCCCUGGGCUCCCAGUUCGCUGCCGGUGUGAGGUGCAGCAGGGAAGGUAGACGUGGAAGGACGGGCCUGAGUGCAGGUCACAUCUAAGGAGGCACUUGGCUGCCGUCCAGCACAAGGCCACUGUCAUGGUCCAGGAGGGUGACCUGGGCCCAGGCAGGGGAGGCGUGGACGCUGCUCUGGCAGACGCUCCAGAGACGCAAGAUCAAGUGCCACGUCCUGUCGGCUGGAGUCACCGUCCUGCUGGUCAUCAUCCUCACCUACUGCCACCUCCAUCCGAAAGUAAUGCCCCUGACGGUUGAUGCUCGGACCCAGG